AACGAACGCUGGCGGCAUGCCUAACACAUGCAAGUCGAACGAGACCUUCGGGUCUAGUGGCGCACGGGUGCGUAACGCGUGGGAAUCUGCCCAAAGGUUCGGAAUAACUCAGGGAAACUU
This 120-nucleotide ribosomal RNA is filed under the name uncultured bacterium. Its description in RNAcentral is "partial 16S ribosomal RNA". It matches the Rfam family "Bacterial small subunit ribosomal RNA", at positions 29 to 159 of the family's 1533-position model. The record is from RNAcentral.